CCCGCUGAACUUAAGCAUAUCAAUAAGCGGAGGAAAAGAAACUAACAAGGAUUCCCCUAGUAACUGCGAGUGAAGCGGGAAAAGCUCAAAUUUAAAAUCUGAGGGUCUUUGCGGCCUUCCGAGUUGUAAUCUAGAGAAGUGCUAUCCGCGCUGGACCGUGUACAAGUCUCCUGGAACGGAGCGUCAUAGAGGGUGAGAAUCCCGUCUUUGACACGGACUACCAGGGCUUAUGUGAUGCGCUCUCAAAGAGUCGAGUUGUUUGGGAAUGCAGCUCUAAAUGGGUGGUAAAUUCCAUCUAAAGCUAAAUAUUGGCGAGAGACCGAUAGCGAACAAGUACCGUGAGGGAAAGAUGAAAAGAACUUUGGAAAGAGAGUUAAACAGUACGUGAAAUUGUUGAAAGGGAAACGCUUGAAGUCAGUCGCGUUGGCCAGGAAUCAACCUUGCUUUUGCUUGGCGUACUUUCUGGUUAAUGGGUCAGCAUCAAUUUUGACCGGUGGAAAAAGGCCAGAGGAAUGUGGCAUCUUCGGAUGUGUUAUAGCUUCUGGUUGUAUACAUCGGUUGGGAUUGAGGAACUCAGCACGCCGCAAGGUCGGGGUUCGCCCACGUUCGUGCUUAGGAUGCUGGCAUAAUGGCUUUAAUCGACCCGUCUUGAAACACGG
RNAcentral lists this ribosomal RNA (659 nucleotides) under uncultured fungus. Its description in RNAcentral is "eukaryotic LSU rRNA". It matches the Rfam family "Eukaryotic large subunit ribosomal RNA", at positions 24 to 664 of the family's 3401-position model. The record is from RNAcentral. Lineage: Eukaryota; Fungi.